AAAACCUUUUGGAUCCAGCUGCACAUGCUGAGUUUGUGAGGGCCACUUCGGAGGUGCUUCCCAAAAUACUGCGUAAGUUACAAGGCUUUUGGUCGAUUCCAGACAACAAAAUACAAAAGUGGAUUAAGAGUUUGAUUUCAUAGUUAAUGGUUUUCAUUGUGUUGAAUGAUUUGUUUUCAUUAUGUUUUAGAAAAACUGCAUCAUGAUCAGAGGCAGCUGGACCUGUUCUUUGGCCUCCUCGGUGCGGUCAUGAUUGUAACCUCUGGUCACAGGCCAGGAGAAACCAUGAACCUCACCGUGGAGGAAUUUCAUUUCUCCAAAGAAGGAAGAGAUGGCCAUGCCAUUUAUGUGAGUGUUGUAGUAGUCAUUGUUUUGUUUGCAUUUGUCUGUUUAUAUAUAUAUAUAUAGUCGUACACUUAUUCAUAAUUAUCUUACUUUACAGAUCAAAAAGCACAAAACAUGUGCAACAUUCGGUCAUGUGAUACUCUCCAUCACAAAGGGGGAGUAUAAUUGCAUGUCCGAAUUUCUAAAAAUCUGUGGAAGUUUUGAGGGGAGCCAGUCAGCCCUCUUCUUUUUCAAUUCGAAGGGUGGGGUGUUCAAGGGCCUCCUCAAAGCUUUCACUGCUGCAUGGGAGUUUGUGGGCCUCCCAAAACCGGCCCCAACUUUCAUGGCCUUGAGGAACUCUAUGUCCACUCAGAAAACCUUUUGGAUCCAGCUGCCCAUGCUGAGUUUGUGAGGGCCACUUCGGAGGUGCUUCCCAAAAUACUGCAAAAACUACAUCAUGAUCAGAGGCAGCUGGACCUGUUCUUUGGCCUCCUCGGUGCGGUCAUGAUUGUAACCUCUGGUCACAGGCCAGGAGAAACCAUGAACCUCACCGUGGAGGAAUUUCAUUCCUUUAAAGAGGGCAGAGAUGGCCAUGACAUUUGUGUGAGGGUUGUAGUAGUCAUUGUUUUGUUUGCAUUUGUCUGUUUAUAUAUAUAUAGUCAUACACUUAUUCAUAAUUAUCUUACUUCACAGGUUAAAAAGCACAAAACAUGUGCAACGUUCGGCCAUGCAAUACUCUCCAUCACAAAGGGGGAGUAUAAUUGCAUGGCUGAAUUUCUAAAAAUCCGUGGAAGCUUUGAGGGGAGCCAGUCAGCCCUCUUCUUUUUCAAUUUGAAGGGUGGGGUGUUCAAGGGCCUCCUCAAAGCUUUCACUGCUGCAUGGGAGUUUGUGGGCCUCCCAAAACCGGCCCCAACUUUCAUGGCCUUGAGGAACUCUAUGUCCACUCAGGUGAACCAAGCUGUCCCUCACAAUGAGGAGAACAUACUUUUGGAGGAAGAUAUAUGUUUUCCUUCCAACAUGAGCAAGAAGCAAACUGAACAUUAACCAAGCUCCAAUUAAUUAAUC
Molecule: long non-coding RNA, 1389 nt
Filed under: Carassius auratus (goldfish)
Lineage: Eukaryota; Metazoa; Chordata; Actinopteri; Cypriniformes; Cyprinidae
Description: lncRNA (ENSCARG00000044188.1)
Source: RNAcentral